Molecule: long non-coding RNA, 942 nt
Organism: Danio aesculapii
Lineage: Eukaryota; Metazoa; Chordata; Actinopteri; Cypriniformes; Danionidae
Exons: 4
Source: RefSeq, a predicted model, not a curated record
UUGCCCUUGAUAGUCUCAUUUUUCUCCAUUCAAAAGUGUCAAGUGAACGUAUUUUUCCAAAGUUAAUCUCAUCAAAACAAAGCCACGAAAUCGGCUCAUUACAGAUACUCUGAUUGGGCUCGUGCACACCUCAGAGUGUUUUUAAAAUUCAGGAGAGUGCACUGCUUUCAAGCCAACUAGCACUAUGUUGCCAUCGAUGAUGGCAUUCGAUUUGUACUGCAAAAUGAAUCGCUCAACAUCUGGCAACACGCAGGUAUCUGAUGACAGCAACUCGGAGGAGGACUUUGAACAUUACCACUAAGGUAAGGUCUAGUUGUGCCUAGUUGUUGUUUUUUACGUAUUGUGGUAAUUUGUACGUUGUGUCAAAAUGCUAUUUGUAUAGAUAGAAGCUGUUAACUCUCCAUUUUACUCGUCAACGAUCCUUUUCCUCUGAAUACGAUAAUUUUGAGGUUCUGGUACGAUACUUUUGACAUUUCCAAUUGGCAACACUGUAGCAUAAGCAGACUUCUUCUGUGGUCAUAUUUCUCUUUCAGAGUCAUGGCAGAGCAACAUUUUAAGGAGAGCAUUGCUGGACAGACUCGUCCUCCCACAAUCCUUGGUUAAAGAAAUGCAACAACAGCACAAAUACGAUGCUGUAGGGCUGAGUAAAUAUUUGUGGAAUUUUUAUGAUCCCUCCUGAUGCUAUAGAGAUUCAUUAAGGACCACUUGGACAAUACAGAAUGUUUAUAACCACAAUGAUGAAACGAAAAGAGAGACAGGGAAGUAUUCUAAUCCAUCUAUUACUGUCUAGACAUGCCUUGAGGAGAAUAUGCUAAUGCACUUCUCCCCCUCCUGACUUCUUCACCCUUAGUUUCAGGUCAGCUUUGGUUUGGCUUUUCUCGUGGUUUAAGAAGGAAAGGAAAAGGAUUGCAGAGAAUAUGUACUCUGCCUUAUACAGCAAGA